AACUUCGGGAAACCGGAGCUAAUACCGGAUAAGAUAUCGAACCGGCAUGGUUCGAUAGUGAAAGANGGUUUUGCUAUCACUUAUAGAUGGACCCGCGCCGUAUUAGCUAGUUGGUGAGGUAACGGCUCACCAAGGCAACGAUACGUAGCCGACCUGAGAGGGUGAUCGGCCACACUGGAACUGAGACACGGUCCAGACUCCUACGGGAGGCAGCAGCG
Molecule: ribosomal RNA, 218 nt
Filed under: uncultured Staphylococcus sp.
Lineage: Bacteria; Bacillati; Bacillota; Bacilli; Caryophanales; Staphylococcaceae
Description: partial 16S ribosomal RNA
Rfam family: Bacterial small subunit ribosomal RNA
Source: RNAcentral